AAACCUUCCCGGUGCCCCAGCCAACCCGCCGGGUUAAAUACCGGAAGGGUUCCAAAGCCGUUAACUUUCGGGAAUCCAACUUGGGGCCGUUAAAAGCCCGCCAAAUGUUAAGGCCCGGGUUUAAAAUAAAAGUUAAGGAAAAGUUGGAAAAGGCCCCACCAAGCGCUUGAACCUUUGUUGGGAAACCAAGCCUUUCUUUAAACCCUUGAGAUUAACCUAAGAAGUUCUUGGGAAGAAGGAAAGAAUUGGGAAUAAUUAAUUUUAAGGGUUAAAAAUCCCCUUAAAGAGGAAUUAACUUAAGGAAUACCCGGAAAACCGGAAAGGCCGGAUUCCUUUCUUGGGACCAAGGUUAACCGGAACCGCUUUGAAGAAUUGCCGGAAGCCUGGGGAACCAACCAGGAUAGAUACCCUGGUAGUCCACGCCCUAAACGAUGAAUGUUAGUCGUUGGAGUGCUAGCCACUUCAGUGAUGCAGCUAACGCAUUAAACAUUCCGCCUGGGGAGUACGGCCGCAAGGUUAAAACUCAAAGGAAUAGACGGGGACCCGCACAAGUGGUGGAGCAUGUGGUUUAAUUCGAAGAUACGCGAAGAACCUUACCUGGCCUUGACAUAUACCAGAACCUGCCAGAGAUGGUGGGGUGCCUUCGGGAACUGGUAUACAGGUGCUGCACGGCUGUCGUCAGCUCGUGUCGUGAGAUGUUGGGUUAAGUCCCGCAACGAGCGCAACCCUCGUGACUAGUUACUAACAGCAUAGGCUGAGGACUCUAGUCAGACUGCCUUCGUAAGGAGGAGGAAGGUGGGGACGACGUCAAGUCAUCAUGGCCCUUACGGCCAGGGCGACACACGUGCUACAAUGGGGAGGACAAUGAGAAGCGAAAUCGCGAGAUGGAGCAAAUCUAUAAACCUUCUCUCAGUUCGGAUUGUAGUCUGCAACUCGACUACAUGAAGCUGGAAUCACUAGUAAUCGUGAAUCAGCCAUGUCACGGUGAAUACGUUCCCGGGUCUUGUACUCACCGCCCGUCACACCAUGGGAGUUGAUUUCACCCGAAGCGGGGAUGCUAAAUAGGCUACCCGCCACGGUGGAAUUAGCGACUGGGGUGAAGUCGUAACAAGGUAACCGUAGGAGAACCUGCGGAUG
Molecule: ribosomal RNA, 1137 nt
Filed under: epibiont metagenome
Description: bacterial SSU rRNA
Rfam family: Bacterial small subunit ribosomal RNA (bases 256-1137)
Source: RNAcentral